Molecule: small nuclear RNA, 118 nt
Organism: Mesocricetus auratus (golden hamster)
Lineage: Eukaryota; Metazoa; Chordata; Mammalia; Rodentia; Cricetidae
Source: Ensembl
AUGUUGUAUCAGAGAGAAUGUCAGCACUCUUCUUGCUAAGUAUGAAAAGACCAAUGAGCCUAACAGUGUACAUUUAAGGCAUUGAUCCUUACAAUGUGGCAUCUAACCACUGUUUUUA